UACGAAGGGUGCAAGCGUUACUCGGAAUUACUGGGCGUAAAGCGUGCGUAGGUGGUUUUGUUAAGUCUGUUGUGAAAGCCCCGGGCUCAACCUGGGAAUGGCAAUGGAUACUGGCAGGCUAGAGUGCGGUAGAGGGUAGUGGAAUUCCCGGUGUAGCGGUGAAAUGCGCAGAUAUCGGGAGGAACACCCGUAGCGAAGGCGGCACUCUGGGCCGGAACUGACGCUGAGGAGCGAAAGCGUGGGGAGCAAACAGG
This 254-nucleotide ribosomal RNA is filed under the name uncultured bacterium. RNAcentral's name for it is "partial 16S ribosomal RNA". It matches the Rfam family "Bacterial small subunit ribosomal RNA", at positions 524 to 776 of the family's 1533-position model. The record is from RNAcentral.